CGUCUUCUGCUCUCCCCUCAAUUCCUCAACCUCAACCUCAACCUCAAUCCUUGCCUCUUCUACUCUCUCACUUCGCAUCCUCGAAAUUUCUAGAUCUACUCCAUGCUUGAAGAUUCUGCCCCAAUUUCAAGAAAUACGACAAAAUGUGAACGAAAUUUAAAGACUUUGAGGAAGGACCACGAACAUUUGUUAGCGCUGAAGUCUGCCAUUACAUCCGGGAGCAGCAUCUCCUGCUGAAGUUCAGAAACCUACAAUCAGAUCUGUAUGAUUUUUAAGUUUAACACUUAGUAAAUACAUUGUUUAAAAUGGUCUGUGUUGGUGCUUGUGUUCUUGGUAGGUGCUUGAGGGUGUGUGUGUGUGAGGUGUCAGGCUGUGUGGGCAUGGGUUCAAUGUCUCGCAUAUCAUUGCAGGUGUACAAUGGGCUUUCUUUAAGUGAAUGCAGGGCCAAGUUCUUACAUAUUCUACUUUAGUUUCAGGAAUUUAGACUAUAAAUUUCUUGUCUAUUUGGUGUUCUUAUUAGAACAAUAGCUCCUUGUUCUAGAUUUCGUGUUGCCCGAAUUGUAUGAUAUCUAUUAGUGAAUACGGGAUGGAUCAUUUAUUGAAUAGCUCAUGUUAUAGAUUCGAUUGCAUACUUUUUUAUUUAUUUAAUAUUCAAGGUUGUUUAGUGACUGCAAUGGAGGAUAUGCAGCUACUACAAAUUUGCAAAUAGAGAGAAGGCUAGAGCUGCAAACUUAAUCCCUCCGUCUGCGGAUCUACUCAUGGAUUUACAUGUUUGGACACCAAAUUUAUCGGCUGUAUCAAUUACAGAGGGCGGUGAACUUACUUAUUUAACUGACUUGGAAUGCAUAUAUGGCUGAUAUAAUUUCAUUGACUUCAAUCUUUGUGGAAAUGAUCUUUAAGGUAAGUGACCUUGGUUCUUUAUGCUAAUAUAGGACAGGGAUCUCGAUCAUUACACUAUAACAAUCUGGUUCUUUUUGCUAAUGUAAGAUGUUGCUUGUUGUAGCCAUUAAAUUGUUCCUAAGUUUGGCCUAGAAUGAACUUCUCUUGCUUUUCCCACGAGGAUGUGAAUUAAUACAAAGAGACAAAGGUGGUAUGUACUCAUUCGUGAGCCUUUUUAUAGUUUAUGCAUUUUAUUUUUCGCGGUGUAUAAAUGUAACUCAAGAGCUGGUGUUGCAAACCAUCCUCCCAUGGACACACAACUGAGAUUGAUUUGUCUCUUAAUCAAGCCAGACCCAUCAGGUAAUAACGUUUCAAAUUUCAAUUACUCACUUUAAGUCUCUAACCAAAAUAAUUUGAAAUAAGUCAAUAACACUAAUAUCCUAAAAUCUUCUUAUAGUAGUAUGCUUUUUUGAAGUAGCUGGAUUGACAUUAGAACGGAUAGUUGGAAGAUAUGGAUGAGAUGUAGAAGUUGCAGAGUUGUUUAACGUUCUGUUGUUAAGUGAGAUCAACAACUCUAUAAGUAUGAAGUGUGUAAAAAUGAUUAUCUAUAUUUUUUGGUGUUUGUUGUUCUUCAUUUCCAUUAUUUUGUGGGUUUCUUGAGUUGAUUCGCGAAUAUGACAACAAAGAAAUUGAAAGAUGUAGCCGUAGAGUCUCCUUGAACCUUGAUCACAACAUUCAACUAGCUCAUAUGAUCUAAAUCAUUUUCUUUUACAUCAAUCCAUCUCUCAUAAUUUCUGUCACCUCCUUUUGCAGCUUUUCAUAAUUUGUGGAUGUUGCAGCACUCUGUCAUUGCCAAUUACCGUAAGGUUAAAGUGUCUCAGUCCCAAUUGGUAAACAUAUCCUGCGUUGGAGGAUCAAAUUAGGCCAGGUAACAAAUAGAAAUUUUCUUCAAUUUGUGCUAUUGAAUUUGUUGUUGUAGAAUUGUAGAAACCGGAGAACUUCAUGUUGAGCAUGCUCUACUGCUCUACACUUAAGGUGAGUCACCUAUAUUAUUUGUGUCAUUAUAUUUAAUAGUCUCCUACGCCUAUGCUCAUUGAGACAAAAUCUUCGGGUAUUUAUCCCUAAAACUAUAGUUGAGAAAAAAUGUAGUGAAAAGGUGAACAAUAUUACAUAUUUUGGAAUUGAUUAAUUUACAUGUAACUUGUAAGAUAAAUAAAUGAUACACUAAUAAACUUUGCAGUACUCUGUAUUACACUAACACUUUAUCACUUGUUAACUAGUUUUUAUUUAUUUUUAAACAGAACAUUCUCAUGUCCACUUUUAUUUUUCUUUGUAGUGAUAAACAUUUAUGUAUCUCUGGGUCUAUUACGCUGUAUUUAUUGUCCUUCACCUUUUACAUGUUACCUCGUAUAAAUUUACUCUGAAGUUUGCCUCGUCCUCAUUGAAAUCCAAGAAAUUUUGAGUUUUACUCAUAUUCUUGUCUAAUAUAUAGUGAAUCGACUAGUCUGAUUUUGAUUUAACUUGCCUUAUUUUAUGGAUAAGUAUAUAUAAUGAAUCGAGUAACGUAGUCUGAUUUUGAUUAAACUUGUCUUAUUUUAUGGAUAAGUAUUUUCAUUAUCAAAUUUUGUGCUUUUUAUUUUUUGUUCGCCUCAUUUUUUUUCCAAGUAUGCUAAUGAUAUGAAGAAUUUAUUUUUGUAGUUUGGGAAACACGUGAACAACAAUACUCAACAUAAACCCAUUUAGCUUCCAUUUGACUUUGUUUACCUCAAGCUUAAGAAUUUGUAUGAGUGUGUUUUGGAUGUAUAAUGUAUAUGUUGAUGUAGAGAAGUCUAUAUUUGGACAAAUUGCAUUAGUUUUA
Spinacia oleracea (spinach) is the source of this 2737-nucleotide long non-coding RNA. RefSeq lists it as uncharacterized. The record is from RefSeq and is a predicted model, not a curated record. NCBI's taxonomy places the organism in Eukaryota, Viridiplantae, Streptophyta, Magnoliopsida, Caryophyllales, Amaranthaceae. The transcript is spliced from 3 exons.